This 480-nucleotide ribosomal RNA is filed under the name uncultured bacterium. Its description in RNAcentral is "partial 16S ribosomal RNA". It matches the Rfam family "Bacterial small subunit ribosomal RNA", at positions 28 to 507 of the family's 1533-position model. The record is from RNAcentral.
GACGAACGCUGGCGGCGUGCUUAACACAUGCAAGUCGAACGAUGAAGCAAAGAAUCGAAGCUUCGGCAGAAAUUCAUUUCGGAUUAGUGGCAGACGGGUGAGUAACGCGUGAGCAACCUACCUCUUACAAAGGGAUAGCCUCGGGAAACCGGGAUUAAUACCAUAUAACAUUGCGACGAAGCAUUUCGAUGCAAUCAAAGCUACGGCGGUAAGAGAUGGGCUCGCGUCCCAUUAACCGGAUGGUGAGGUAACGGCUCACCAUAGUGACGAUGGGUAACCGGCGGGAGAGGGUGAACGGUCACACUGGAACUGAGACACGGUCCAGACUCCUACGGGAGGCAGCAGUGGGGAAUAUUGCACAAUGGAGGGAACUCUGAUGCAGCGACGCCGCGUGAGUGAUGAAGGAAUUCGUUUCGUAAAACUCUGUUCUAUGGGAAGAAAAGGACUGUACCAUAGGAGAAAGCUCCGGCUAAAUACGUG